AUACGUAGGGGGCGAGCGUUGUCCGGAAUGAUUGGGCGUAAAGGGCGCGUAGGCGGCGCGGUAAGUCUGGAGUGAAAGUCCUGCUUUCAAGGUGGGAAUUGCUUUGGAUACUGCCGCGCUUGAGUGCAGGAGAGGUUAUCGGAAUUCCCGGUGUAGCGGUGAAAUGCGUAGAGAUCGGGAGGAACACCAGUGGCGAAGGCGGGUAACUGGACUGCAACUGACGCUGAGGCGCGAAAGUGUGGGGAGCAAACAGGAUUAGAUACCCUGGUAGUCCACACUGUAAACGAUGAAUGCUAGGCGUAAGAGGUAUCGACCCCUUUUGUGCCGGAGUCAACACAAUAAGCAUUCCGCCUGGGGAGUACGGCCGCAAGGUUGAAACUCAAAGGAAUUGACGGGG
Molecule: ribosomal RNA, 397 nt
Filed under: uncultured bacterium
Lineage: Bacteria
Description: partial 16S ribosomal RNA
Rfam family: Bacterial small subunit ribosomal RNA
Source: RNAcentral